GCUCAGGAUGAACGCUAGCGGCAGGCCUAACACAUGCAAGUCGAACGGUAACAGGGAAGAGCUUGCUCUUUCGCUGACGAGUGGCGCACGGGUGCGUAACGCGUAUACAAUCUGCCGUUAAGCGGGGAAUAGCCCAUGGAAACGUGGAUUAAUACCCCAUAGUAUGUAGACUUCACCUGGAGACUACAUUAAACAUUUAUGGCUUAAAGAUGAGUAUGCGUCCUAUUAGUUAGUUGGUAAGGUAACGGCUUACCAAGACCGCGAUAGGUAGGGGUCCUGAGAGGGAGAUCCCCCACACUGGUACUGAGACACGGACCAGACUCCUACGGGAGGCAGCAGUGAGGAAUAUUGGACAAUGGAGGCAACUCUGAUCCAGCCAUGCCGCGUGCAGGAAGACGGCCCUAUGGGUUGUAAACUGCUUUUAUACGGGAAGAACCACAUCUACGUGUAGAUGCUUGACGGUACCGUAUGAAUAAGGACCGGCUAACUCCGUGCCAGCAGCCGCGGUAAUACGGAGGGUCCAAGCGUUAUCCGGAAUCAUUGGGUUUAAAGGGUCCGUAGGCGGAAUAAUAAGUCAGUGGUGAAAGUCUGCAGCUCAACUGUAGAAUUGCCAUUGAUACUGUUAUUCUUGAAUUAUUAUGAAGUGGUUGGAAUGAGUAGUGUAGCGGUGAAAUGCAUAGAUAUUACUCAGAACACCUAUUGCGAAGGCAGAUCACUAAUAAUAUAUUGACGCUGAGGGACGAAAGCGUAGGUAGCGAACAGGAUUAGAUACCCUGGUAGUCUACGCCGUAAACGAUGGUUACUAGCUGUCCGGCUUAAUUGAGGGCUGGGUGGUUAAG
This 839-nucleotide ribosomal RNA is filed under the name Gramella sp. MAR_2010_83. RNAcentral's name for it is "bacterial SSU rRNA". It matches the Rfam family "Bacterial small subunit ribosomal RNA", at positions 22 to 851 of the family's 1533-position model. The record is from RNAcentral. Lineage: Bacteria; Pseudomonadati; Bacteroidota; Flavobacteriia; Flavobacteriales; Flavobacteriaceae. RNAcentral also lists the same sequence under 1 other name.